This 480-nucleotide ribosomal RNA is filed under the name uncultured bacterium. RNAcentral describes it as "partial 16S ribosomal RNA". It matches the Rfam family "Bacterial small subunit ribosomal RNA", at positions 28 to 507 of the family's 1533-position model. The record is from RNAcentral.
GACGAACGCUGGCGGCGCGCUUAACACAUGCAAGUCGAGCGAUGAAACUUUAACAGAACCCUUCGGGGCGAAGAUAAAGUGGAUUAGCGGCGGACGGGUGAGUAACACGUGAGUAACCUGCCUUAGACAUUGGGAUAGCCUCGGGAAACCGGGAUUAAUACCAAAUAAAAUCAUAAUGACACAUGUCAUAACGAUCAAAACUCCGGUGGUCUAAGAUGGACUUGCGUCCCAUUAGCUAGUUAGUAGAGUAAAAGCCUACCAAGGCGACGAUGGGUAGCCGGCCUGAGAGGGUGAACGGCCACAUUGGAACUGAGAAACGGUCCAAACUCCUACGGGAGGCAGCAGUGGGGAAUAUUGCACAAUGGAGGGAACUCUGAUGCAGCGACGCCGCGUGAACGAAGAAGGCUUUCGAGUCGUAAAGUUCUUUUAUAUGGGAAGAUAAUGACGGUACCAUAAGAAAAAGCCCCGGCUAACUACGUG